This 1774-nucleotide long non-coding RNA is filed under the name Felis catus (domestic cat). RNAcentral's name for it is "lncRNA (ENSFCAG00000045226.2)". Lineage: Eukaryota; Metazoa; Chordata; Mammalia; Carnivora; Felidae. The record is from RNAcentral.
CUGGAUUCCCACACAUACUGCGGCCUUGGCAUGUUGCACACAUUGCAUGAGUCUGUGAAAAUAACUUCUACUGGGAAUAUGUGCCAUAAAUAAAGACUGCUCAGAAAGUUAACAAGAAUGAAGGAAUGAGGGAGGAAGAAGAGAGGAGUCUGGGAGAGGACUGACGGCCCUUGAAGGCCAUUGCAGUGGCAGCGCUAGAUGGGUGGUCAGACACAGCGGAAGGCCGAGGACGGAGGAAGCCAUCUGCAGGACACUAGACCCCACAAGAAUAAGCCAAGACCAUGAACAGGGUAAGUAGAAGUGAGGGGAAAAUGGCCAAUUGUUUUUGAGUCGUGUGCACAACUGGAGAAUUGGGAGCUUUUGGCCAAAGCAGCCAGGCCUAUUGUCUUUAUAUGCAAAACCAUCCUGUCAUUCUUUUGUUGCUCUGGGAACUUCAUAGAGAAUCAGUGCCUCAUUUAUCCAGGGAGACUUCCAUUCAUCUGCUAAUCCCCUAAGAACAAAGCUGCAUUCCAGAAUUGAAGAGUUUAAUGGACAUUUUCCAUUGACCUUCUUACUCUGAUUUUGUUGGCAUUCUUAAGUUCUGUUUAUAGUAAAAUGUGUUUCCUUGGGUAGUAAAAUGGACUUUUUCCCUAGUAAAUGUCUGUGCCUGUGUAGAAAAAUGUGGAAGAAACUUUAUUAUUCAUUGUUACGAGUAGUUUCAUAAAGUUAAUCAUUAUUUAAAUUUAGUAGAGAUAGGAAAAGUCAAAAGAACAUCUGUUUGUGACAUUUUCAGGAGAUGAGUUCUUGCCAUGAGUAAAAGGGAGUGGAUUAUACUGUUCUUUAAAAAUGUGUAACACAUUUUGUAUGAAGAAGAUAAUCAAAACCAGAUAUCAUUUAUCUCAUAGGUGGAUGGAAAAGAGACCAAGAAAAAAAAAUAAGUGGCUUGGUGACCUAACUUUACCCAGAGAAUGGAAAAUAAAAUGCAAGACUCCAAACCCUGCCCUUCUAUUUCAUCCUCAUUUUGGAAAAAUACAGGAAAAGGUGGGCUUUUUUGCCUUCCUACCAUGGACGAGGAUCUUGAAGGAGAAACUUGGCAGACCUUUUCCAUUCCCUGGGGCUUCGGCCAGGCAGUAGAGGAUGAAGGAGGACAUACAUGCCAGUGAGUAACAGUCCUCAAGUACAAAUAGCAGGGGUCCUGUCAUUGCUUCCUGAGAUUAGCUCCUGGUUUUCAGUAGGAUGGAUUUAUUUGGACAAGGGUUGAAAACCAUGUCUCAGAAUUACACAAAAAUGAUGCCUUUGAUAGAAAAGCGAUGAGAUCCUUCUGAGUUUUGUCUCAGUAACUGUAAUUUUUACAAAAAGAAUAUUUGGAGGUGAGGCAGGAAUAUCCUGCAAAAGAAAAGCAUAACGUCAUACACUACUCUGGCUGUUUAUUUCCUCACAACUACAUGUCCAGAGGCACGCUUUUGGGAAGAGAGAAACUGAUUUUAGCUGCUCAUCCUUAUAUGUGGUAUUCUAAUCGGCUAUCACUCACAGUAAACUUUUGACUGCACUUGUGCACUUUUUGCAAAAGAAAUUGGGUUGUGCUGUGUUUAUUUUCUUUUGAAAGUGGUGUCUUCUCAAUGACAAAUGUAUCUAUCAAGAUGAAAACUUUUCAUUGUUAAGCAGAAAAUGCUAUGUUGGCUAUACAAAUUAGUUCGUAUUUAAUUGCUUGUCUUCAGUGGUCUUGAUAAAUAAGUGUUUCUCCCUUGGAAACCUAUUUUACACAAAGUGCAGAUCCUUGAUGAGUGGCUGAUGG